RNAcentral lists this ribosomal RNA (460 nucleotides) under uncultured bacterium. RNAcentral's name for it is "partial 16S ribosomal RNA". It matches the Rfam family "Bacterial small subunit ribosomal RNA", at positions 338 to 795 of the family's 1533-position model. The record is from RNAcentral.
CCUACGGGUGGCAGCAGUGAGGAAUAUUGGUCAAUGGCCGGAAGGCUGAACCAGCCAUGCCGCGUGAAGGUCAGUGCCCUAUGGGCGUUAAACUUCUUUUGUGCGGGAGCAAUAAUGGUCACUUGUUGCCAGCCGAGAGUACCUUCCGAAUAAGCCUCGGCUCACUCCGUGCCAGCAGGCGCGGUCAUACGGGGGAUGCAAGCGUUAUCCGGAUUUAUUGGGUUUAAAGGGUGCGUAGGCUGGGAGGUAAGUCAGCGGUGAAAUGCCCCCGCUCAACGGGGGGAAGUGCCAUGGAUACUGCCGGGCUGGAAUGCGGAUGCCGUGGGAGGAAUGCGUGGUGUAGCGGUGAAAUGCAUAGAUAUCACACAGAACACCGAUUGCGAAGGCAUCUCACGAAGCCGCGAUUGACGCUGAUGCACGAAAGCGUGGGUAUCAAACAGGAUUAGAUACCCUGGUAGUC